CAGGCCUGCAUAUUGAUGCCCUGGAAAUGUUGCCAAGCGACAAACAUCUGGUUAGACUAGCCAGCCAGCUUGAUAUUGACAGAUGUAAAAAAUUGGUCCUUCAACUCGGGUUGCAAGAAAAACAUUGGAAAAAUGUAAAUCACGCGUACGGCCAUGAUACUCUGACACUAAAUACCAUGGCGUUAUAUACCUGGAUGAAUACAAAGAUAAAAGAACAAUCAACAACGUAAUCAUUAAAUAAUUUGCACGCAGGACUGAAAGCAAUUGGUGCUGAUACGCAUGUGCUUUGCAAGGUUUGUACUUUUUACAAUUUAUUUAAAUUUUUGAACUUUGUUUUUCACACGGGGGUCUCAACAUGGAUUUUUGGGCAGCUGGGAUUUCAAAAACACGUCCCAUUCAUAUAGUGUAGUCUUGUGAAAUCCUGAUCUGUAACAAAUUUUCAUAGCGGAAUCAUAACCCAUUCAUAUAUCCCUCAGUUAUCACAUAUUAUUUUUUUUGACUUGAUUUUAAACGAUAAAAAAAAACAUUUAUAUUAAUUGAAAGAUGAAAAUUAUUGACCCAUUGACAAAUUACUUUUGUGAAAUUGCAACCCAUUGAUAUAUUUGAUGUGUCAAAAAGGGACCUUUCCCGCGGCACAUCUGUUUACACCUUCAUAUAGAACACCCUCCCCCCCCCCCCCCCCCCCCCCCCCCGUUGGUUUUCAAGAGUUGGUUUACAAGUGAAAUUUAUAUAUGGCGUUUUGUUCGCUCUGAAAUAGCUGGGAGGUAUAUACUUCAUAUACAGGCGCUGCUGCAAUUUUGCUACAUCACAAUGUAAAGGUCACAGUUUGGAAGCCAAAGUCAUCGAUUCAUAAGAUAUAUAUUUUUUUAUGAUUAACUGAAUUUUUUGGAACUUUUAAUAUGGUUGAUAAAAAAGAAGAGAAAAAGAUAGUAAAUAAUCUUUAUUUAGUACAUUUUUCUAGUACACAUUUGUUCAUUUGAAUUCAUGUUAGAAUUAUAUAAGGUUACUUCGGUCUAUUGUGGUUUGGUGUACCACUGAACUUGUAAAUAGUACACAAUAUUAAAAAGUAGUCUUUUUGCGUAAAUUGCAGAAACUGAAUUGCUUACAAGGCGAUUUUUGAUAUAAACCAUAUUUAGUUUUGCCCUUGUGUUUAUUUAUUAUUUACUGUUAAAAAAAUUUUGUCUCAAUUUUAAUUUUAGAUAUUCAGAGAAUACACAGAUUUUUCUG
RNAcentral lists this long non-coding RNA (1227 nucleotides) under Mytilus galloprovincialis (Mediterranean mussel). Lineage: Eukaryota; Metazoa; Mollusca; Bivalvia; Mytilida; Mytilidae. The record is from RNAcentral.